UGCGGAGGGUGCAAGCGUUAUCCGGAUUCACUGGGUUUAAAGGGUGCGUAGGCGGGUAAGUAAGUCCGUGGUGAAAUCUCUGAGCUUAACUCAGAAACUGCCGUGGAUACUAUUUGCCUUGAAUAUUGUGGAGGUGAGCGGAAUAUGUCAUGUAGCGGUGAAAUGCUUAGAUAUGACAUAGAACACCAAUUGCGAAGGCAGCUCACCACACAAUCAUUGACGCUGAGGCACGAAAGCGUGGGGAUCAAACAGG
This 253-nucleotide ribosomal RNA is filed under the name uncultured bacterium. RNAcentral's name for it is "partial 16S ribosomal RNA". It matches the Rfam family "Bacterial small subunit ribosomal RNA", at positions 524 to 776 of the family's 1533-position model. The record is from RNAcentral.